RNAcentral lists this microRNA precursor (84 nucleotides) under Macacine gammaherpesvirus 4 (Rhesus lymphocryptovirus). Its description in RNAcentral is "Macacine herpesvirus 4 (Rhesus lymphocryptovirus) mir-BART12 microRNA precursor family". It matches the Rfam family "mir-BART12 microRNA precursor family". The record is from Rfam by way of RNAcentral. Lineage: Duplodnaviria; Heunggongvirae; Peploviricota; Herviviricetes; Herpesvirales; Orthoherpesviridae.
CCGGUGACCUGAGACCCACCCUUCUCGACGGGGCAGGUGUUAUAAGUGUCCUGUAGAGUAUGGGUGUGGUUUUAGUGCACGCGG